RNAcentral lists this ribosomal RNA (506 nucleotides) under uncultured bacterium. RNAcentral describes it as "partial 16S ribosomal RNA". It matches the Rfam family "Bacterial small subunit ribosomal RNA", at positions 30 to 523 of the family's 1533-position model. The record is from RNAcentral.
AUUGAACGCUGGCGGCAGGCCUAACACAUGCAAGUCGAACGGCAGCACAGAAGAGCUUGCUCUUUGGGUGGCGAGUGGCGGACGGGUGAGUAAUGUCUGGGAAACUGCCCGAUGGAGGGGGAUAACUACUGGAAACGGUAGCUAAUACCGCAUAACGUCGCAAGACCAAAGUGGGGGACCUUCGGGCCUCACACCAUCGGAUGUGCCCAGAUGGGAUUAGUUAGUAGGUGGGGUAAUGGCUCACCUAGGCGACGAUCCCUAGCUGGUCUGAGAGGAUGACCAGCCACACUGGAACUGAGACACGGUCCAGACUCCUACGGGAGGCAGCAGUGGGGAAUAUUGCACAAUGGGCGCAAGCCUGAUGCAGCCAUGCCGCGUGUAUGAAGAAGGCCUUCGGGUUGUAAAGUACUUUCAGCGGGGAGGAAGGCGGUGAGGUUAAUAACCUCGCCGAUUGACGUUACCCGCAGAAGAAGCACCGGCUAACUCCGUGCCAGCCGCCGCGGUAA